ACUCAGAUUUACUUAAUAAUUACUUCCAGCUGAAGUUUCCAAGGGUUUUUAAUAGCUUUCUGUCUCUAAAAAUUCCGAGAAAGAAAUGGUUCGACAAGAACAACAUCAACACAGGAUGGAUGGUCCAUGGAUCCUUGAAGCUGUUCCUCUAAUGGUUGUUGGUCUCAUCACUGCUCACGUCGUCGCUCUGGUUUACUGGAUUUACAGGUUAGCUACGGAAAAACAACCUCAAAGAAGAAAAGCCCACUAGUCUGUCAUUCUCUCGAAGUGAUAAUAAUACGGUUAACGAUCAUGUAGCUGGAGAAGAAGUGAAAUCUACUAGUUUCCACAUUUAGGAUUCCAGGUUGCUUUCAGCCAUGUUAUUUCGUCAUUCAUUUAAACUUGUAGGCUGGGAAUAGUGACUUACACUCUCCUCCUGAUGUAUAUUCGAUAAUUAGAAUUUACGACUUGUUAUGUUUCUGUAUGGGGUUUUAGUACAAUCUAGUUAAAAAUUGGUUCCCUUGGCCACAGUGACUAUGAUAUCUACGUUUUUCUUUGUGUCUGUUUGCGUUAUUUGAAUUUAAAAUUUGUAUAUUUUCAGGA
Long non-coding RNA from Papaver somniferum (opium poppy), 582 nucleotides. RefSeq lists it as uncharacterized. NCBI's taxonomy places the organism in Eukaryota, Viridiplantae, Streptophyta, Magnoliopsida, Ranunculales, Papaveraceae. The transcript is spliced from 3 exons. The record is from RefSeq and is a predicted model, not a curated record.